Long non-coding RNA from Oncorhynchus tshawytscha (Chinook salmon), 3387 nucleotides. Lineage: Eukaryota; Metazoa; Chordata; Actinopteri; Salmoniformes; Salmonidae. The record is from Ensembl.
CAUGAUCAUUGCUUCAGCCACACCAUCUCCCACACAUUCACCUACAUCAUCUUCCUCUUCACCUUCCUCCUCCCCCUAGCUCUCUGGCUGAAACAAGCAUCCUGACUGAAUGUCUCACUUCUGUUCAAAUGUCUAUUUAUCCGUUUAACCCAUAUAAAAAGGAAACUUCUGAAGAAAUUAUAUUUUUUUAAAGAAUCAAAAAUGAAAUCAGGAAUAACUAUUUAAUGAAGAUAUACAGGAUAAACAAUGUUAUUUAUCAUCAUUGUUUUGAUUACAGAGAUAACGAUUGCUAGGUCUCCAUUUUCAUCAUUAGUAGUAUUAAUAUCAAGUUCAUUGUCAGGUUUUGCUUAAAGCAUCACUUGUUUAAUUUUCAUUGCAUCAAGUUGACAUCAUUCAUGUUAAUAUAAGCAUGCACACAUGUUUCUCCAUGUCCAUUCAGAACUGCACUAACACUGAGAGAGACAGAGGAGAGAGGAGUCCUACACACAGAGAGAGCGGACAAGAUGGAGGGAGGCGGAGAGAGGGGGUGAAUGGCUGUGUGGAGAGAGAGGGAAGUGGGGAAAAGGGAGUUUUCAGAAAUAGAGUGGGAGAACAAGCAAUCAAAGAGAGCAAGAGACAGGUAUAGAAAGAGAUAAAGGGAAAAGAUAAAGGUAUAUUGAGAGAGAGAGAGCGAGAGGGAGAGAGAGAGAGCGGCAGGCAUAGAAAGAGAUAAAGGGGAAAGAGAAAGGUAUAUUUAGAGAGCGAGAGAGAGAGAGAUAGAGAGAGGUAUAGAAAGAGAUAAAGGGGCAAGAGAAAGGUAUAUUUAGAGAGAGAGAGAGAGAGAGAGCGAGAGAGAGAGGCAGAGAGAGAGAGAGCGGCAGGCAGGCAUAGAAAGAGAUAUAUAUUUAGAGAGAGAGAGAGAGAGAGAGAGAGAGGUAUAGAAAGAGAUAAAGGGGCAGGAGAAAGGUAUAUUUAGAGAGAGAGAGAGAGAGAGGUAUAGAAAGAGAUAAAGGGGCAAGAGAAAGGUAUAUUUAGAGAGAGAGAGAGAGAGAGUAAAAAGAGAUAAAGGGGCAAGAGGAAGGUAUAUUUAAAGAGAGAGAGAGAGAGAGAGAGAGAGAGAGCGGCAGGCAGGCAUAGAAAGAGAUAAAGGGGCGAGAGGAAGGUAUAUUUAGAGAGAGAGAGAGAGCGAGAGAGAGCGAGGGUAAUACUGAGAGCACACUAGCAACCUCCAGUGCUGAGUGAGUGCUAACACCACAGUGUUAUGGGGCAGAGGAUCAUGUGGACUGUGAGGGAUAGAGACAGAGCCUGGAGAUAGGCCAAUGGAUCAAUACUAUAGUAUCUACUUAUACAGGCAGAUCAAUGACCUCCCAGAACAACCUGAGCAGACAUACAGUUCCAGAUGGAAAACUUCUGGCUAUGAUAUGGGAUAUACAGCUUUAAUCUGUGUACAUACCAAGCAUACCAGAAAGCAUCCCUGCACUUCCUUGGCCUGAAGUUGGAAUAGUAACUGGAUCCCCCUGAAUGCGUUUAAGGGGAAAUGGCAGCCAUAGCAUUAGUAGUGCUAACUGUUAGUUGAGGUUAUAGUAGCAGAAGUGGUGGUAGACAUGGUUCUCCCAUGGCAGUAGCCACAUGGUGCUUAAAGAGGAAGUGCAGAGCGUAAACAGGGGGUCAUUGUAUUUCACAAAGAUAAAGGACAUGGCUACCCCCUCUCUGUCUCCCCGUUUGGAGGGACUGCUAGGGGACAUAAAAGAGUCAUUACUCAGCCCAAAAUUCUACCUCAAGUAAUCAAAACGUAUCUAACAUCACGGUGCCAACUGGUUUCCCCUCAGACACACAGUACACAUUUACUAAAAGUAGUACACAACCAACACAGUUACUUAGAUCAGGCAGGGGGGGCACUUUUGAGUGACUGACAGCUGAUCUGGGAAACAACACACACAAUACACUCUAAUCUCUGUGAGAGACCGACUGUUCAUCAGGGAUCAUAAGUAUCCCACUCCCCACCAAGUGCAAUGGGUCCUACAACAAAUGGUUCCUCUAAGACACACAGGACAGAAGACACAUUUUGUUUAAAGACAGGAGUUUCAGUCUGUGGAUGCUAGGAAUGGUGUGGGGCCGCGAGGACAGGUAGAAGAUAGGGAUCUCAUGAGCACAGAAACAUGUCACACAGAAGGUCACAGUGACACACACAAACACACAGGCAUACACACACAGACGCACACAAAUACAAAACACACACACAAACACAGAAAUACACACAAAUCAAAGCAACACAAAUGUGUGUGUCCUUCUAACGUUGUCGUCCAGUCGGAGACAUGAUGGACUGCAGACAAUUUUAUCUUUUCAAAUUAAAUAAUGUCUUUCCGAAAAACAAAAUCUUGGAAUGAUAGAAAAAUUCAAUAUAAUGGUGAAAUCCUUCCCUGUAGGAUACAUUUCCAGUAAGUGCACUCCAAGCCGAGCAGGUCCGUCCUCAUCACAGUUCCCCUGUAGAGUCCUCUGGGGUAAAGUCUGCCAGUAUGUCCAAACAGGGGAACACUAUUCCUGUAACAUCCCAAGGCGCUCAAAUAGUUCAGGUCUUCAAGUACUCACAGUCACAUCCUUAGUGGAUCGUAAAAAAAUGGUAUGGAUAAAUUCCUUUCUGGAUGAUUAUAUUACACAAACCCCCAAAACCAAACAAAUGGAAAAAUAAAAGCAAAUUCACAUUAAUGAGCACCAUGAAGAAGGUGACAAAAUAAUGAGGCGAAGGGACACAUUUCAAGGUUACGUAACAUGCUUCAGCAGAUGGGUUCAUCCACAUUUCUCCCUCCCCUGACAUCAAUAAUAACGACCGGCAAAGGUUCCUUCCUCCAGCUAAAAGAAGCCAGAAAAGCCCAGAUCCAGAGGGUAGGCCCAAACCACUAGAGUCUCCACAACUGAUGUUUGUCCUGCUGGAAACACGACAUGGAUGUUUCUUAACUACACUUGUAUACGAAUGGCCUAAAGUAAAGCAUUGGCAUGGUUUGUCUUUUGAAGUCCAUACAGAGCAGAAACCUUAGGCCCAGGUUUGAUUGGAGGGAGAAAUGUGCAUCAUCACACUCCUUCUGGAUGAAUUACUGGCACUAACCUGAAGCACUGUGUGUGUGUGUGUGUGUGUGUGUGUGUGUGUGUGUGUGUGUGUGUGUGUGUGUGUGUGUGUGUGUGCGUGUGUGCGUGUGUGUGUGUGUGUGUCAGAGAUCUAAGUGUUGCUUGUAUAGAGUGUAGAUUCUGUAUUCCUGUGCUUCGUUGCGACAGGACAGGAGUUGGAAUAUUCAGCAGUAGCAGUAGAAUAGCAGUCGAUGUGUCUCCUUAUCUCUCUUUGUUUGAUGGAGAGAAUUAUUCACAGAUGAGCAGAAAGAAAGGAAAGUCUGGAACUGGAAAGAUGAUAAUAAC